UGCUAGCUUUGAUUACACAGCACAAUUCGUAUUUCAUUUUGUUGAAGUCAACAACGUAAAGCUGAGGUUUAACCAGAGAAUUCAUAUAUCAAUCUAUCUUCUCGAUGUUCAAUUAUCUAAACCUUAUUGAGCUCAUGUGAUAUAUGCAUUGUGGAACUUAAGUACUCACAUUGUAACAGUGUACGCAUGAGAUGUGACCAAGUGAGUUGUGAUUUGGGAAACCGAAAACCCAGAUGAUGGCGACACAGAACACAGAACACAGAGCAUAAGAAGUAGCAUAUGCGAAUGGGGCUCAAAGUGAAUUAUGCCAUAUAAUUUGUCUGCAGGCAGGUGCUGCUCAUUAAUCUUUUGCUCGCUUUUCAGUCGCCUCUCUCGCCGCUACACUCAAUCGCUUAGUUUAGCACACUCUUGGGGAGGGCUCCAUAUAACACACACACAGCCCCAACACACACACACACACACUCACGCAUAUACGCAUACACUUUGCACACAGACAUUUACUUACAUAGAUAAGCUUCUCGCUUUCCGUUUCAGAUUUUUUCGCCUUUACCCACCUGGCGGUUUUAUGCCUAAUGGAUUUGUGCUUUGAUGUGCAAACGGUUUAUACCAUAUUAGGUUACAUAUCUACAUACACAUAUCUCUCCAUGUGUCUGUCGGUGUGUGUGUGUGCUCUGUACGCAUGUGUGCGUGUGCUGAAGUGUCUACAUUAGAGGCCAUCACUUGCAGUCCUAAGCUUUUUUUUCCACCCAACACAGUGAGGCGCACAUAAAUUUGUUUCGAAAUGGCCAUAUAAGGGCUAUAAUUCUGAGCCUUGCCUGAUUCGCUGUUAAUGGCCAAAUGGUGGGUGUUGUGUUUGCUUUUAAAAUUAACAAGAAAGUCUUAAAAAAUGUCGAAGAUCAAAUACUCUUAAAAUGCAAGGAUACUAUGUAUGCGAAGUUGUCUUGCUUUUGUCGUUGUCCUUGUCCUCUUUGUCUCAGCAAAAAAAUUGAAUUUCUCUGUUUACCAUCUAAAUUACCAUAUGUAUGGAGAAAACGUGUUUGGUUUACUUUGCUGAUGAAAUUUGCAAGCGCUGAGUUCGUGUAUUCUCAAAGAAAUUUCUAUUUAAUUUAAUUUUAUUUUAUUUUUAAAAUUGGAAUUUGUUUUUACACACCACAAUUUGUUACUUAAUUUAAAUUUAAAUGGUUUUUCAUGUUAACAUUUAAAAAUUUACUCGAUUCGAUUU
This is a long non-coding RNA of Drosophila sulfurigaster albostrigata, 1222 nucleotides long. RefSeq lists it as uncharacterized. The transcript has 3 exons. Lineage: Eukaryota; Metazoa; Arthropoda; Insecta; Diptera; Drosophilidae. The record is from RefSeq and is a predicted model, not a curated record.